CCUACGGGUGGCUGCAGUCGAGAAUCUUCGGCAAUGGGCGCAAGCCUGACCGAGCGACGCCGCGUGCGGGAUGAAGGCCUUCGGGUUGUAAACCGCUGUCAGAGGGGAUGAAGUAUACGGGAGUUAUCUCCUGUAUUUGACAGAGCCUCAGAGGAAGCACGGGCUAAGUUCGUGCCAGCAGCCGCGGUAAUACGAACUGUGCGAACGUUAUUCGGAAUCACUGGGCUUAAAGGGUGCGUAGGCGGCUUCCUAAGUCAGGUGUGAAAUCUUCCGGC
This 275-nucleotide ribosomal RNA is filed under the name uncultured bacterium. RNAcentral's name for it is "partial 16S ribosomal RNA". It matches the Rfam family "Bacterial small subunit ribosomal RNA", at positions 338 to 608 of the family's 1533-position model. The record is from RNAcentral.